UACGUAGGGGGCAAGCGUUAUCCGGAUUUACUGGGUGUAAAGGGAGCGCAGACGGCAGUGCAAGUCUGGAGUGAAAGCCCGGGGCCCAACCCCGGGACUGCUCUGGAAACUGUACGGCUGGAGUACGGGAGGGGCAGGCGGAAUUCCUAGUGUAGCGGUGAAAUGCGUGGAUAUUAGGAGGAACACCGGCGGCGAAGGCGGCCUGCUGGACCGAAACUGACGUUGAGGCUCGAAAGCGUGGGGAGCAAACAGG
RNAcentral lists this ribosomal RNA (253 nucleotides) under uncultured bacterium. RNAcentral describes it as "partial 16S ribosomal RNA". It matches the Rfam family "Bacterial small subunit ribosomal RNA", at positions 524 to 776 of the family's 1533-position model. The record is from RNAcentral.